UUCCUGGUAGCUAAAAGGUUAAGGCGAGUAGCUGUUAACUACUAAAUUGUAGGUUCGAGUCCUGCCCAGGAAG
Molecule: transfer RNA, 73 nt
Filed under: Gelidium sclerophyllum
Lineage: Eukaryota; Rhodophyta; Florideophyceae; Gelidiales; Gelidiaceae
Description: tRNA-Asn
Rfam family: tRNA
About the family: Transfer RNA (tRNA) molecules are approximately 80 nucleotides in length.
Source: RNAcentral